AAAUGUAGGAAUACUCAGAGGACAGUAAUUCUGAACCUAAUGUGGAUCUGGAGAAUCAAUACUACAAUUCCAAAGCUUUGAAGGAAGAUGAUCCAAAAGCAGCACUAAGCAGUUUUCAGAAGGUUUUGGAGCUCGAAGGUGAAAAAGGAGAAUGGGGGUUCAAAGCUCUGAAACAGAUGAUUAAAAUAAACUUUAAAUUGGUAGGAAUUACUUGCUUGAAUAAAUAGCAUAAAUACAAAUUUGA
Molecule: non-coding RNA, 244 nt
Organism: Coturnix japonica (Japanese quail)
Lineage: Eukaryota; Metazoa; Chordata; Aves; Galliformes; Phasianidae
Source: RefSeq, a predicted model, not a curated record